Molecule: non-coding RNA, 1312 nt
Filed under: Corchorus olitorius
Lineage: Eukaryota; Viridiplantae; Streptophyta; Magnoliopsida; Malvales; Malvaceae
Description: Bacterial large subunit ribosomal RNA
Rfam family: Bacterial large subunit ribosomal RNA
Source: Rfam by way of RNAcentral
CAAACUUGGAAAUAGCUGGUUCUCUCCGAAAACUAUUUAGGUAGUGCCUCAAGUAUCACCAUCGGGGGUAGAGCACUGUUAUGGCUAGGGGGUCAUUGCGACUUACCAAACCAUUGCAAACUCCGAAUACCGAUGAGUGCGAGCUUGGGAGACAGACGUCGGGUGCUAACGUCCGGCGUCAAGAGGGAAACAACCCAGACCGCCAGCUAAGGUCCCAAAGAUUGGCUAAGUGGAAAACGAAGUGGGAAGGCUAAAACAGUCAGGAUGUUGGCUUAGAAGCAGCCAUCAUUUAAAGAAAGCGUAAUAGCUCACUGAUCGAGUCGUCCUGCGCGGAAGAUGUAACGGGGCUAAGCCAGUCACCGAAGCUGCGGAUAUGUCUUUGACAUAUGGUAGGAGAGCGUUCUGUAAGCCUGCGAAGGUGUCUUGUAAAGGAUGCUGGAGGUAUCAGAAGUGCGAAUGCUGACAUGAGUAGCGAUAAAGAGGGUGAAAAGCCCUCUCGCCGAAAGCCCAAGGUUUCCUGUUCAACGUUCAUCGGAGCAGGGUGAGUCGGCCCCUAAGGCGAGGCAGAGAUGCGUAGCUGAUGGGAAGCAGGUUAAUAUUCCUGCACCGUCGUAUGAUGCGAUGGGGGGACGGAUCGCGGAAGGUUGUCCAGCUGUUGGAAUAGCUGGUUCUUGACUCAUAGAAGGCGCUUAGGCAAAUCCGGGCGCGUAAUUCAAGGGGUUGAGACGUGUGCCCUUGUGGCACGAAGCAAUCGGAAGUGGUUCCAAGAAAAGCCUCUAAGCUUCAGUCAUACGAGACCGUACCGCAAACCGACACAGGUGGGCGAGAUGAGUAUUCUAAGGCGCUUGAGAGAACUCGGGAGAAGGAACUCGGCAAAUUGGUACCGUAACUUCGGGAAAAGGUACGCCUCGGUAGCUUGAUCACUUUACUGUGUGAGGGCGAAAGGGUUGCAAUAAACUGGUGGCUGCGACUGUUUAAUAAAAACACAGCACUCUGCAAACACGAAAGUGGACGUAUAGGGUGUGACGCCUGCCCGGUGCUGGAAGAUUAAAUGAUGGGGUGCAAGCUCUUGAUUGAAGUCCCAGUAAACGGCGGCCGUAACUAUAACGGUCCUAAGGUAGCGAAAUUCCUUGUCGGGUAAGUUCCGACCUGCACGAAUGGCGUAACGAUGGCCACACUGUCUCCUCCCGAGACUCAGCGAAGUUGAAAUGUUUGUGAUGAUGCAAUCUACCCGCGGCUAGACGGAAAGACCCCAUGAACCUUUACUGUAGCUUUGCAUUGGACUUUGAACCAAUCUGUGUAGGAUAGGUGG